UCCAUUAUAGUCUAGUUGGUUAGGAUACUCGACUCUUACCCGAGAGACCUGGGUUCAUGUCCCGGCAAUGGAA
RNAcentral lists this transfer RNA (73 nucleotides) under Capsicum annuum. It matches the Rfam family "tRNA". From Rfam's summary of the family: Transfer RNA (tRNA) molecules are approximately 80 nucleotides in length. Their secondary structure includes four short double-helical elements and three loops (D, anti-codon, and T loops). The record is from Rfam by way of RNAcentral. Lineage: Eukaryota; Viridiplantae; Streptophyta; Magnoliopsida; Solanales; Solanaceae.